CACUGCCGAGAAAAGCCUCUAGAUAGAAAAUAGGUGCCCGUACCGCAAACCGACACAGGUAGUCAAGAUGAGAAUUCUAAGGUGAGCGAGCGAACUCUCGUUAAGGAACUCGGCAAAAUGACCCCGUAACUUCGGGAGAAGGGGUGCUCUUUAGGGUUAACGCCCAGAAGAGCCGCAGUGAAUAGGCCCAAGCGACUGUUUAUCAAAAACACAGGUCUCUGCUAAACCGUAAGGUGAUGUAUAGGGGCUGACGCCUGCCCGGUGCUGGAAGGUUAAGAGGAGUGGUUAGCUUCUGCGAAGCUACGAAUCGAAGCCCCAGUAAACGGCGGCCGUAACUAUAACGGUCCUAAGGUAGCGAAAUUCCUUGUCGGGUAAGUUCCGACCCGCACGAAAGGCGUAACGAUUUGGGCACUGUCUCAACGAGAGACUCGGUGAAAUCAUAGUACCUGUGAAGAUGCAGGUUACCCGCGACAGGACGGAAAGACC
This 486-nucleotide ribosomal RNA is filed under the name Staphylococcus aureus. Its description in RNAcentral is "partial 23S ribosomal RNA". It matches the Rfam family "Bacterial large subunit ribosomal RNA", at positions 1603 to 2090 of the family's 2925-position model. The record is from RNAcentral. Lineage: Bacteria; Bacillati; Bacillota; Bacilli; Caryophanales; Staphylococcaceae.